This is a small nuclear RNA of Bison bison bison, 100 nucleotides long. The record is from Ensembl. NCBI's taxonomy places the organism in Eukaryota, Metazoa, Chordata, Mammalia, Artiodactyla, Bovidae.
UUGCUUCAGCAGCCAGUAUGCUAAAAUUGAAACAAUACAGAGAUUAGCAUGCUCCCUGCAUAAGUAUGACAUGCAAAUUCAUGAUGUUUUCCAUAUUCUU